This 253-nucleotide ribosomal RNA is filed under the name uncultured bacterium. RNAcentral describes it as "partial 16S ribosomal RNA". It matches the Rfam family "Bacterial small subunit ribosomal RNA", at positions 524 to 776 of the family's 1533-position model. The record is from RNAcentral.
UACAGAGGUCCCGAGCGUUGUUCGGAUUUACUGGGCGUAAAGGGUGCGUAGGUGGUCGGGUAAGUCUCAUGUGAAAUCCCGCAGCUUAACUGCGGAACGGCAUGGGAUACUAUUCGGCUCGAGGAUUGGAGGGGGGACUGGAAUUCCCGGUGUAGCGGUGAAAUGCGCAGAUAUCGGGAGGAACACCAAUGGCGAAGGCAGCUCGCUGGGACGUUACUGACGCUGAGGAGCGAAAGCGUGGGGAGCGAACAGG